RNAcentral lists this ribosomal RNA (901 nucleotides) under uncultured bacterium. RNAcentral describes it as "bacterial SSU rRNA". It matches the Rfam family "Bacterial small subunit ribosomal RNA", at positions 62 to 981 of the family's 1533-position model. The record is from RNAcentral.
UCGACGGAGUGAAAUGCUUGCAUCUGAACUUAGUGGCGGACGGGUGAGUAACACGUGAGCAACCUGCCUUUCAGAGGGGGAUAACGUUUGGAAACGAACGCUAAUACCGCAUAAAAUAUCGGAGUCGCAUGGCACUGAUAUCAAAGGAGCAAUCCGCUGAAAGAUGGGCUCGCGUCCGAUUAGGCAGUUGGCGGGGUAACGGCCCACCGAACCGACAAUCGGUAGCCGGACUGAGAGGUUGAACGGCCACAUUGGGACUGCGACACGGCCCAGACUCCUACGGGAGGCAGCAGUGGGGGAUAUUGCACAAUGGGGGAAACCCUGAUGCAGCGAUGCCGCGUGAAUGAAGACGGCCUUCGGGUUGUAAAGUUCUGUCGCAGGGGACGAAAAUGACGGUACCCUGCAAGAAAGCUCCGGCUAACUACGUGCCAGCAGCCGCGGUAAUACGUAGGGAGCAAGCGUUGUCCGGAAUUACUGGGUGUAAAGGGAGCGUAGGCGGGAGGAUAAGUUGAAUGUGAAAUCUAUGGGCUCAACCCAUAGCUGCGUUCAAAACUGUUCUUCUUGAGUGAAGUAGAGGCAGGCGGAAUUCCUAGUGUAGCGGUGAAAUGCGUAGAUAUUAGGAGGAACACCAGUGGCGAAGGCGGCCUGCUGGGCUUUUACUGACGCUGAGGCUCGAAAGCGUGGGUAGCAAACAGGAUUAGAUACCCUGGUAGUCCACGCGGUAAACGAUGAUUACUAGGUGUGGGUGGACUGACCCCAUCCGUGCCGGAGUUAACACAAUAAGUAAUCCACCUGGGGAGUACGGCCGCAAGGUUGAAACUCAAAGGAAUUGACGGGGGCCCGCACAAGCAGUGGAGUAUGUGGUUUAAUUCGACGNCACGCGAAGAACCUUACCAGGCNU